Molecule: ribosomal RNA, 448 nt
Filed under: uncultured bacterium
Lineage: Bacteria
Description: bacterial SSU rRNA
Rfam family: Bacterial small subunit ribosomal RNA
Source: RNAcentral
UGCCAGACUCCUACGGGAGGCAGCAGUGGGGAAUAUUGGGCAAUGGGCGCAAGCCUGACCCAGCAACGCCGCGUGAAGGAAGAAGGCUUUCGGGUUGUAAACUUCUUUUCUCAGGGACGAAGCAAGUGACGGUACCUGAGGAAUAAGCCACGGCUAACUACGUGCCAGCAGCCGCGGUAAUACGGAGGAUGCGAGCGUUAUCCGGAUUUAUUGGGUUUAAAGGGUGCGUAGGCGGACUGGAAAGUCAGCGGUAAAAUCGAGAGGCUCAACCUCUUUCCGCCGUUGAAACUGUCGGUCUUGAGUGGGCGAGAGGUAUGCGGAAUGCGCGGUGUAGCGGUGAAAUGCAUAGAUAUCACACAGAACUCCGAUUGCGAAGGCAGCAUACCGGCGCCCGACUGACGCUGAGGCACGAAAGCGUGGGUAUCGAACAGGAUUAGAUACCCCAGUA